This 301-nucleotide ribosomal RNA is filed under the name uncultured bacterium. RNAcentral's name for it is "partial 16S ribosomal RNA". It matches the Rfam family "Bacterial small subunit ribosomal RNA", at positions 509 to 809 of the family's 1533-position model. The record is from RNAcentral.
CAGCAGCCACGGUAAUACAGAGGGUGCGAGCGUUAAUCGGAUUUACUGGGCGUAAAGCGUGCGUAGGCGGCUUUUUAAGUCGGAUGUGAAAUCCCUGAGCUUAACUUAGGAAUUGCAUUCGAUACUGGGAAGCUAGAGUAUGGGAGAGGAUGGUAGAAUUCCAGGUGUAGCGGUGAAAUGCGUAGAGAUCUGGAGGAAUACCGAUGGCGAAGGCAGCCAUCUGGCCUAAUACUGACGCUGAGGUACGAAAGCAUGGGGAGCAAACAGGAUUAGAUACCCCAGUAGUCCCUGUCUCUUAUAU